GACGAACGCUGGCGGCGUGCUUAACACAUGCAAGUCGAACGGAAAGGCCCUGCUUUUGUUGGUUUCUUGAGUGCCGAACGGGUGAGUAUCACGUGAGUAUCCUGCCCUUGACUUUGUGAUAUCUUCAGGAAACUGGGGCUCAUACCCGAUAUGAUCUCCUGCUGCAUGUUGUUGGUUGGUAAGUUUCGGCGGUUGGAGAUGGACUCGCGGCUUAUCAGCUUGUUGGUCUGGUAGUUGCUUACCAAGGCUUAGACGGGUAGCCGGCCUGAGAGGGGUAACGGCCACAUUGGGACUGAGAGACGGACCAGACGGGUACGGGAGGCAGCAGGGGAGAAUAUUACAGAAUGGGGGGAAGCCAGAGGCAGAAACGCUGGGUGCGGGAUGACGGGUUUCGGGGGGUAAACAGAUGUGGAAGGAGACGAAGAGAGAGUGACGGUAAUGGGUAAGGAAGCAACGGCUAACUACGUG
RNAcentral lists this ribosomal RNA (468 nucleotides) under uncultured bacterium. Its description in RNAcentral is "partial 16S ribosomal RNA". It matches the Rfam family "Bacterial small subunit ribosomal RNA", at positions 28 to 507 of the family's 1533-position model. The record is from RNAcentral.